RNAcentral lists this ribosomal RNA (430 nucleotides) under uncultured Alphaproteobacteria bacterium. Its description in RNAcentral is "bacterial SSU rRNA". It matches the Rfam family "Bacterial small subunit ribosomal RNA", at positions 29 to 505 of the family's 1533-position model. The record is from RNAcentral. Lineage: Bacteria; Pseudomonadati; Pseudomonadota; Alphaproteobacteria.
AACGAACGCUGGCGGCAGGCCUAACACAUGCAAGUCGAACGAACCUUUUAGGUGAGUGGCGCACGGGUGCGUAACACGUGGGAAUAUACACUUCGGUAAGGAAUAACGUAGAGAAAUUUGCGCUAAUACCUUAUAAUGACUCCGGUCCAAAGAUUUAUCGCCGAGGGAUUAGCCCGCGCUAGAUUAGUUUGUUGGUGAGGUAAAAGCUCACCAAGACGACGAUCUAUAGCUGGUCUUAGAGGAUGAUCAGCCACACUGGAACUGAGACACGGUCCAGACUCCUACGGGAGGCAGCAGUGAGGAAUAUUGCGCAAUGGAGGAAACUCUGACGCAGCCAUGCCGCGUGAGUGAAGAAGGCCCUAGGGUUGUAAAGCUCUUUCAGAUACGAAUAUAAUGAAGGUACUAUCAGAAGAAGCUCCGGCUAAAUUCG